This is a long non-coding RNA of Amblyraja radiata (thorny skate), 170 nucleotides long. RefSeq lists it as uncharacterized. The transcript is spliced from 3 exons. NCBI's taxonomy places the organism in Eukaryota, Metazoa, Chordata, Chondrichthyes, Rajiformes, Rajidae. The record is from RefSeq and is a predicted model, not a curated record.
GAUUGGACACCUAAACUUUUGACAAAAAAUCCACAAUGAUUCAAAAUCUUUAGGCCUUCUUUUAAGAAUAAAAAUGGCAAGAAUUCCAAAAGAAAGCCUGUCAUAAAGGUCACGUCAUAUACAGGGGAGGACAAAAGAGAUUUGGGAGGAGCCACUGAAGAAACAAAGGA